Molecule: ribosomal RNA, 249 nt
Filed under: uncultured euryarchaeote
Lineage: Archaea; Methanobacteriati; Methanobacteriota
Description: partial 16S ribosomal RNA
Rfam family: Archaeal small subunit ribosomal RNA
Source: RNAcentral
GGCAGCUCUAGUGGUAGCCAUUUUUAUUGGGCCUAAAGCGUUCGUAGCCGGUUUGAUAAGUCUCUGGUGAAAUCCUAUAGCUUAACUGUGGGACUUGCUGGAGAUACUAUUAGACUUGAGGUCGGGAGAGGUUAGCGGUACUCCCAGGGUAGGGGUGAAAUCCUGUAAUCCUGGGAGGACCACCUGUGGCGAAGGCGGCUAACUGGAACGAACCUGACGGUGAGGGACGAAAGCCAGGGGCGCGAACCG